This 24-nucleotide non-coding RNA is filed under the name Arabidopsis thaliana (thale cress). Lineage: Eukaryota; Viridiplantae; Streptophyta; Magnoliopsida; Brassicales; Brassicaceae. The record is from RNAcentral.
AGGUUCUGGAUCCCUCUUCUUAGU